This 1806-nucleotide long non-coding RNA is filed under the name Ananas comosus (pineapple). RNAcentral describes it as "long non-coding RNA (ACOM_LNC005870)". Lineage: Eukaryota; Viridiplantae; Streptophyta; Magnoliopsida; Poales; Bromeliaceae. The record is from RNAcentral.
UUGACCGAUUCAAAUCAAACAAAUUAAAAAAUUGGCCAGAAAAACUAAGAUUUUGAAAGACUAGAUAGUUAAUUCCAAAUAGCCAUAGUUCAGGUAUGUUUUCACACAAUUUUACCUAACUUUUCUCUAGUUUCAUCUUUUUUUCUUUUUCUUUUAGCUUUUACAUAAACUUUGUAGUUGUGCUUCAAUAUUUAUGAGCUUGAUUUUAAUUUUAAGUGUCGUUGGAGAUCACAGAAAGAUUGCGAUAUGCAUGGGUGACGCAAAAGUAUUAUGAAAAUAUAUUAUAUUUAUUUUCAUUUGUAAUAUCGUGUUCUUUGUAUCAUAAUAAAUUGGUUACAAAAUAAGUACGAUAAAAAAAUAUUUUAUUUAUUUUCAUACGUAACAUCACAUUCUCUAUAUCACUAUAAAUUAGUUACAAAAUAUUUUUUUCGAUCCUACUAGAAAACAGGAAAACAUAACUCCCCAAAUCCAUUUUGUCUACUAAUUAAUAUUAGAUGGCCUCGAUACCAAACAAAUUAACCUUUAGUUAAUUUGUGUUUAGGUUGGAAGGCUAUUAUCUUUAUUUAAUUUCCCCGAUGAUGAUGAUGAUGAUUAUUAUUAUUAUUAUUAUUAUUAUNUUUUCUAUUUAUUUAUUUUGUGCAAAUUAGAUCGGAAUGAAUGGUUGAAAUUAAACUCAUAAAGCUUCGCACAACGGUUAUAUUUGAAUAAAAUGAACCAUAAUAAUUAUUUUCUCGUAGAAAUUACUUCCAUUAACAAUUAAUUGCAGAACUGCUAUGUUCAGCUAAGGCUAAAGACGCACUAAUUACUUGCGAAGGAGUGGACCAAUUAUUACAGAGUUAGGUGAUGUUGCAUUUGUUACAAUUAUCCAUUUUGUCUACUAAUUAAUAUUAGAUGGCCUCGAUACCAAACAAAUUAACCUUUAGUUUGUGUUUAGGUUGGAAGGCUAUUAUCUUUAUUUAAUUUCCCCGAUGAUGAUGAUGAUGAUUAUUAUUAUUAUUAUUAUUAUUAUUAUUAUUUGUUUAGCUUUGGGGACCGCUCUUUAUAAUUGUUUCCUUUCUUUGAUUUAGUAAUGUUGAUUGAUGUUGCUUUCGAGUUCAUUCCCAAACUUUUCUCUUUUAAUCAAGCUCUUGUAGCCUACGGGCAUUUUCUUUUAAAUGUUAGGAUGAUUCUAAUUUAGAUUCAUAGAAAAGCCAUCUCAUGUUAAUUUCUGUAAACUUAGUGGGUAUUUGGUUCCUCAAAAAAUGUGUAAAGAAACACUAAUUUUUUCCUAUGUACAAUCACAGACACUUCUAUAAGCUUUGCAUGUCUUUGUCGGACACGUGCGUGGCCGUUUCGAACACGUGUUCGAUGUGGACAUUUCUUAGAUGCACGUUUAAUGCUAAUCCAUAGUGCAUACAAUUAAAAAAGUAUAUACCCUUUUUUUUUUUUCUAUACAUAUAUAAUGUAAGAUGAUAAAUAUUUAGCUUUAUGAUGAAUUAAUGUAUAUAAUUUUUUUGACAAUAUAAAUAAAUUAUGUAAGGUGGAGAAUUUUUUUUAAAAAAAUAUGAACUAUUAAUCAAAAUUUUAUUAACUUUCAUUCGUAUGUGAAAUAUAAUAAUAUUUUAUCAAAAUUAAUAUUUUAUAUAUAAUAAAAAUAUAUUAUUAUAUUAAUAAUAUUAUAUUUUAUUAGCGGUGUCUAUACCGUAUCUGUGUCCUAAUUUUUUGAAAGUUGCCGAGUCGCAGUGUCCGAGUCGUGUCGUACGUAUUCCGUGUCAAUGUCCGUGAUGUCUAAAUUUCCACAGUUUUUAUUUUCUAAAUAAAAAACUA